CUCUACAGCCAUGCUACCCUGAACAUGCCUGAUCUCAUUUGAUCUUGGAAGCUAAGCAGGGUCGGGCCUGGUUAGUACUUGGGUGGGAGGAAUAAAGAGAGCAGGGGGCAAUGGGUG
Molecule: ribosomal RNA, 117 nt
Organism: Chlorocebus sabaeus (green monkey)
Lineage: Eukaryota; Metazoa; Chordata; Mammalia; Primates; Cercopithecidae
Source: Rfam